AUACGUAGGGGGCGAGCGUUGUCCGGAAUGAUUGGGCGUAAAGGGCGCGUAGGCGGCCCGGUAAGUCUGGAGUGAAAGUCCUGUUUUUAAGAUGGGAAUUGCUUUGGAUACUGUCGGGCUUGAGUGCAGGAGAGGUAAGUGGAAUUCCCAGUGUAGCGGUGAAAUGCGUAGAGAUUGGGAGGAACACCAGUGGCGAAGGCGACUUACUGGACUGUAACUGACGCUGAGGCGCGAAAGUGUGGGGAGCAAACAGUAUUAGAUACCCUGGUAGUCCACACUGUAAACGAUGAAUGCUAGGUGUAGGGGGUAUCGACCCCUUCUGUGCCGCAGUCAACACAAUAAGCAUUCCGCCUGGGGAGUACGGCCGCAAGGUUGAAACUCAAAGUAAUUGACGGGG
Molecule: ribosomal RNA, 397 nt
Filed under: uncultured bacterium
Lineage: Bacteria
Description: partial 16S ribosomal RNA
Rfam family: Bacterial small subunit ribosomal RNA
Source: RNAcentral